CUCUUCCCCCUAGUCUCUAUGGUAGCGCCUGUGUCGCUAUCGGCGGUGACGGAAGCCGCUGAGGACAAGUGUGGGUUCCAAGUUACCUACUGUGCUGGUCUGUGAGGUACUGGCCUUGGAGGGUAGCAAUGUCAGAGAAGAAGCAGCCGGUAGAUUUGGGUCUCCUAGAGGAGGACGACGAAUUCGAGGAGUUCCCUGCCGAAGACUGGGCUGGUUUGGAUGAAGAUGAAGAUGCCCAUGUCUGGGAAGAUAACUGGGAUGAUGACAAUGUAGAGGAUGACUUCUCUAAUCAGUUACGAGCUGAACUAGAGAAACAUGGUUAUAAGAUGGAGACUUCGUAGCAGCCAGAAGAUAGCAGCCAGAAGAAGUGUUGAAGUACCCUCAGUUUGAACUGUGUACUAAAUUCUAGGACAAAGAACCAGGAUGGAAUGCUUUUAAAAAUAUGUUUAUUUCAUUAUUUGCUUGAAUUUUUUUGUAACAAAAAAAUAAAUGUUUUGAUGAAAUCUUG
This is a long non-coding RNA of Heterocephalus glaber (naked mole-rat), 508 nucleotides long. RefSeq lists it as uncharacterized. The record is from RefSeq and is a predicted model, not a curated record. Lineage: Eukaryota; Metazoa; Chordata; Mammalia; Rodentia; Bathyergidae.